This 202-nucleotide long non-coding RNA is filed under the name Vigna radiata. RNAcentral describes it as "long non-coding RNA (VRAD_LNC003958)". The record is from RNAcentral. Lineage: Eukaryota; Viridiplantae; Streptophyta; Magnoliopsida; Fabales; Fabaceae.
CCGGCUCAUGCGGGUUGAACCCGUGGUAAGCCGGGUUGGUCCACCAACCCACCUAUUUAAAUUUAUUUUUUUAAUUUAUUAUUUUAUUUAUGAAACCCUAAAAAAUAAAAUACUUUCUUGUCUCACUGUGUAUACCAAAAAAGUAACAUCUGCUCUCACAAAUCACUGUCAUGGUACUUGCUCUCAUUUGACGGUGCUCUCA